RNAcentral lists this long non-coding RNA (433 nucleotides) under Malus domestica (apple). Its description in RNAcentral is "long non-coding RNA (MDOM_LNC007621)". The record is from RNAcentral. Lineage: Eukaryota; Viridiplantae; Streptophyta; Magnoliopsida; Rosales; Rosaceae.
UCCAUUACCUUUUUUCUACCUUUUCCCACCAUUUCUUCCUUUUUAUUAGCCAAUUAUACAAAAAACCACCAAAACAUUCAUUUUAUGUUUAAUAGCCAAAUAAAUUGGCUAAUUAAACCUAAAAACCCUAGCCACCUCCUAUCCCUAUAAAUAUACUCCCAUUCUCACCAAAAAGCUAAUUCCAACACUUUGGCAAAAAUCCCAAAAUUCUCUAAACACUCUUUCUCUCUAAAUUCUAACUUUGGCAUCGGAGGUUCUUCGGCCAAAGCCCCCCCCCAUUCAUCGUGGGCGCGUGAGGCUCUUGGCCUUAACCUAAGGUGUUAAUUGUUUUGUAGGUGCAAAAUCGUCCAAGAUCGAGGAGGAAGAAAUUUGCAUCCACAAAUUGGUGCUUUCAUUGAGAGUUGAAAUCCAUACUCGUAGAAGACUCUCGCAC